This 629-nucleotide ribosomal RNA is filed under the name Ligilactobacillus salivarius. Its description in RNAcentral is "bacterial SSU rRNA". It matches the Rfam family "Bacterial small subunit ribosomal RNA", at positions 66 to 680 of the family's 1533-position model. Lineage: Bacteria; Bacillati; Bacillota; Bacilli; Lactobacillales; Lactobacillaceae. The record is from RNAcentral.
CCGAAUGCUUGCAUUCACCGUAAGAAGUUGAGUGGCGGACGGGUGAGUAACACGUGGGUAACCUGCCUAAAAGAAGGGGAUAACACUUGGAAACAGGUGCUAAUACCGUAUAUCUCUAAGGAUCGCAUGAUCCUUAGAUGAAAGAUGGUUCUGCUAUCGCUUUUAGAUGGACCCGCGGCGUAUUAACUAGUUGGUGGGGUAACGGCCUACCAAGGUGAUGAUACGUAGCCGAACUGAGAGGUUGAUCGGCCACAUUGGGACUGAGACACGGCCCAAACUCCUACGGGAGGCAGCAGUAGGGAAUCUUCCACAAUGGACGCAAGUCUGAUGGAGCAACGCCGCGUGAGUGAAGAAGGUCUUCGGAUCGUAAAACUCUGUUGUUAGAGAAGAACACGAGUGAGAGUAACUGUUCAUUCGAUGACGGUAUCUAACCAGCAAGUCACGGCUAACUACGUGCCAGCAGCCGCGGUAAUACGUAGGUGGCAAGCGUUGUCCGGAUUUAUUGGGCGUAAAGGGAACGCAGGCGGUCUUUUAAGUCUGAUGUGAAAGCCUUCGGCUUAACCGGAGUAGUGCAUUGGAAACUGGAAGACUUGAGUGCAGAAGAGGAGAGUGGAACUCCAUGGGUAACC